GAUGAACGCUAGCUACAGGCUUAACACAUGCAAGUCGAGGGGAGACGGCAUCGAAAGCUUGCUUUUGAUGGGCGUCGACCGGCGCACGGGUGAGUAACGCGUAUCCAACCUGCCCAUCACUUGGGAAUAACCUUGCGAAAGUAAGACUAAUGCCCAAUGACAUCCCACGAAGGCAUCCGAAUGGGAUUAAAGAUUUAUCGGUGAUGGAUGGGGAUGCGUCUGAUUAGCUUGUUGGCGGGGUGACGGCCCACCAAGGCAACGAUCAGUAGGGGUUCUGAGAGGAAGGUCCCCCACAUUGGAACUGAGACACGGUCCAAACUCCUACGGGAGGCAGCAGUGAGGAAUAUUGGUCAAUGGGCGAGAGCCUGAACCAGCCAAGUAGCGUGCAGGAUGACGGCCCUAUGGGUUGUAAACUGCUUUUAUAAGGGAAUAAAGUGGGUCACGUGUGACUUUUUGCAUGUACCUUAUGAAUAAGGACCGGCUAAUUCCGUG
This 492-nucleotide ribosomal RNA is filed under the name uncultured bacterium. RNAcentral's name for it is "partial 16S ribosomal RNA". It matches the Rfam family "Bacterial small subunit ribosomal RNA", at positions 28 to 507 of the family's 1533-position model. The record is from RNAcentral.